CAUAGUUGCCAACUGACAUGAUAUUCGCGUGUAAUACACGCUUUUUCAACGGUUUACACGCGAGGAUUUUAUCACAUGGCGUGUACACGCUUUUCACCACUUUACACGCAAUUACACGCUUUUUAGUUGUUUUGUUUUUUUGGUUGUUAGUGAUAUCGCGAUUCUCGGGUUUUUUCAUUAUAACACGAUAAAUACCGAAAUUUCGAAGUAAUUGUUUGGUGGCCAUUGUUUAUUUUUCUCUAUAUGGACGAACAGCAAAAGCUCUUAAGUUUCAAAUGUAGCCAACAGAUUUCCACAGGCCAUAGGGGAUGGAAAUAUCACGGAACUGUUGGAUCAGUUCUCAUAGUAUUAGCUGUCUUCUGAUGAACUACCCAGUUUUGACCAGGCAAUAGCAACAUAUAUUGUAUAGUUUGUUGGGAGCAAUGGCAGAGAUCAUAGAUGACAUUUUAGAUGGCAAAAAAACAUUAUGACACUCUUUCAAAGCUUCAUGAAGCUAUUUUAGUUCAGCCAAAUAUCAAUUCUGACUGUGAGAGAUCAUUUUCAAUUAUAAAGAAAUUUACACUGAAUUCUGAUCAGAACUUGACAAUGAUAUGUUGUGUGCCUUGUUAUCAAGUAAAUGUAACCAAAUCAGCAGGUGUUUUGACUAUGUGCCUAGUGGUGUUGCUUUAAAAGCAGCAAAACAGACCACUGUUGAAUACAAUAAAAGUUUACAGUUGAA
Molecule: long non-coding RNA, 718 nt
Organism: Mytilus californianus (California mussel)
Lineage: Eukaryota; Metazoa; Mollusca; Bivalvia; Mytilida; Mytilidae
Exons: 2
Source: RefSeq, a predicted model, not a curated record